Molecule: ribosomal RNA, 301 nt
Filed under: uncultured bacterium
Lineage: Bacteria
Description: partial 16S ribosomal RNA
Rfam family: Bacterial small subunit ribosomal RNA
Source: RNAcentral
CAGUAGCCGCGGUAAAACGUAGGUGGCAAGCGUUGUCCGGAAUUAUUGGGCGUAAAGGGCUCGCAGGCGGUUUCUUAAGUCUGAUGUGGAAGCCCCCGGCUCAACCGGGGAGGGUCAUUGGAAACUGGGAAACUUGAGUGCAGAAGAGGAGAGUGGAAUUCCACGUGUAGCGGUGAAAUGCGUAGAGAUGUGGAGGAACACCAGUGGCGAAGGCGACUCUCUGGUCUGUAACUGACGCUGAGGAGCGAAAGCGUGGGGAGCGAACAGGAUUAGAUACCCCGGUAGUCCCUGUCUCUUAUAC